This 74-nucleotide transfer RNA is filed under the name Ignavibacteria bacterium. RNAcentral's name for it is "tRNA-Arg". It matches the Rfam family "tRNA". From Rfam's summary of the family: Transfer RNA (tRNA) molecules are approximately 80 nucleotides in length. Their secondary structure includes four short double-helical elements and three loops (D, anti-codon, and T loops). Lineage: Bacteria; Pseudomonadati; Ignavibacteriota; Ignavibacteria. The record is from RNAcentral.
GCGCCUGUAGCUCAAUUGGAUAGAGCGUUGGCCUCCGAAGCCAGAGGUUUCGGGUUCGACUCCCGACAGGCGCA